Molecule: long non-coding RNA, 710 nt
Filed under: Musa acuminata (dwarf banana)
Lineage: Eukaryota; Viridiplantae; Streptophyta; Magnoliopsida; Zingiberales; Musaceae
Description: long non-coding RNA (MACU_LNC010819)
Source: RNAcentral
GUUUCCACCUGCGGGAAACAGAGGUGCUGCAGCCCUAGCUGCAGUUGCUGCCUCUUUCUCUCUCCUCUCCAUCUUCCCUCUAUUCUUCUUCUUCUUUUCUUCUCUUCUCUUCUCCCUCUUCUUCCUCCUCUCUUCUUUUCCCUCUUCUUCUUCUUUUCUUCUCAAUCCCUCAACUUCUCUUCUUCUUCUCCCCACGCCCCACCGCUCAUUUCUCUGUUUCUCGAAGAAACAGAGAGAGCGUGGGAGGCGGUGGGAUAAAACCGAAAUUUUUGAUUUUCUUUAUUUUUUUUCUUUUUGCAACUUAAUAGUUUAGUCCUUGAAAUUUCUAUAUUUACAUAUAGGUUCUCCAAUUUACAUAUAAAUCCUUAUUAAUAAUUUUCAAAAGUGAGGGAUAUUAAACUCUCCCCCCCCUUAAAAGAAAAUUUAGUCCUCUAAAUUGAUCAUAACUCAAUCGAUGAAAAGAUGAGGAUUAUGAUUUCUUUAUUUCCUCCUCCUGCUCUCAAAUAAUUUCAUCAAUACAAUUAUACAAUUAUCCAAGAGUGAUCGAAAUAUUCUCCUCCUUGAUCCUCAAUAGAUGGUAACCCGACCUUCAAUCAAUCUUUGAAAAUACCUGUGCACCCUGCAGUUAAUCAAACAAGUCGUCACUUUAGAGAAUACUCAUUUUUUUAUGGUCACCUAAUUCAAUUGUCUAUAAUCAAUACAAAGCCUCA